This 648-nucleotide ribosomal RNA is filed under the name Boehmantis microtympanum. RNAcentral describes it as "partial 16S ribosomal RNA". The stretch from base 1 to 445 matches the Rfam family "Bacterial large subunit ribosomal RNA", at positions 614 to 1301 of the family's 2925-position model. The record is from RNAcentral. Lineage: Eukaryota; Metazoa; Chordata; Amphibia; Anura; Mantellidae.
CAUGGUCCAGCCAGUCUCCCCAAGCAAAACGAAUUUAAGUUUGAACCCCCGAAACUGAGUGAGCUACUUCGAAAUAGCCACAAGAGCUAACCCGUCUCUGUUGCAAAAGAGUGGGAUGAUUUCCAAGUAGAGGUGAUAAACCUACCGAGCCCAGAGAUAGCUGGUUCCUCAAGAAAAGAAUAUUAGUUCAUCCUUAAGUCUCAAAAUUAUACAAAAAAAACACUUAGACUUUAGAGCUAUUCAAAUAAGGCACAGCUUAUUUGAAACAGGACACAACCUACAAUAUAGGGUAACCCUAUCAAAAAGUGACAGGUGGGCCUAAAAGCAGCCACCCUUAAAAAAGCGUUAAAGCUUAACACUAAUUCUUUACUAAUACCUCAAUUAUCCACUAACCCAUCAUCAAUAUUGAGUUACUCCAUAAAUUUAUGGAAGAUAUAAUGCUGAAACUAGUAACAAGAAGAAGACCUUCUCCUAAAUGUAAACCUAAGCCAUAACAGACAACCUACUGGCAAUUAACGAUAAUGAAACUAUUAUAGUAACCUAACAAGAAAAUUCUAUAACUUCUAACGUCACCCUUACACUAGAACAUUUAUGGAAAGAUUAAAAGAGAAAGAAGGAACUCGGCAAACCAAACCCCCGCCUGUUUAC